Small nucleolar RNA from Bacillus rossius redtenbacheri, 83 nucleotides. The record is from RefSeq and is a predicted model, not a curated record. Lineage: Eukaryota; Metazoa; Arthropoda; Insecta; Phasmatodea; Bacillidae.
CAUUUAUGAUGACUAGCCAUGCUAAUACUGAGGGAACUUCUGGUUCUCACUGAGUUAAAAAAUUUCUCAUUAUUCUGAAAUGA